UGGGGUGUCCACAGCCUCCUUGGGCAACCUGUUUCAGUGCUUCACCACCCUCUGAGUGAAAAACUUCCUCGUAAUGUCUAACCCUAGACCUCCCCUGUCUUAGUUUAAAACCAUUUCCCCUUGUCCUAUUGCUAUCCAACCUUGUAAAAGAUAGGAUCUGAGAGAUCUGCUCUCCCUGCAGUUGUUGUGGAUAGGUUUGUGUUCUCUGAGCUGAGAGGAAAGCCAUAUAGGCAGCAAUUUGCCUUUUAAGGUUUUGCUUCACUGCAUACCAUGCCUCACUGACUCGCACAGCUCCUUUCAGGCACUUCCUCGAUUUUAAUGUGGUGCCGUUUCCAUAAUAUGUAAUAAACACCACUGAGGCUGAUAGUUCAGUUUUGAACAGGGUGGAUGUAGUGAGAUCCCUGAUGCUGGAAGAAUAACAAGGCUGAAAAGUCCUCUGCGCUUCAAUAUGCACUACUGCUUGCUGCACUGUGCCAUAAUGAAAGCUGAAUGCCUGCCUUCCUCCUCACUUCUCACACAGUAACACUUUAUCUGAGGGGAAAACCGACAGUCUGUAGUUACUGCAGAAACCACUCCCAGCUGAGACAGGGUAAGUGAAGGGAAUAGAAAUGAGAGAGAGAGAGAGGUGUGCGUGGUUGUCAUAUGAUCUCUGCAGCAUCCCCGCACUGUUGCAAAUUCACCCAUACGUUUCUGGGUUUAUGCUAAGUUUGUGGAUUUGGACUGUCUGACUGGCACCUUCUCUUGGCAUGUUAGUUCUGUCUGCCCCUCCCUUCUACAGAGCUGAGUGUGUGGAUGGAGGUAUGGAAAUGCUCUGCGUAGGCAGUGAAGCGACCGCAUCUGAUAAGGAAGUCCUGAGCUCUAGGAACUGCUGUACAUGGGAGGAUUUAAAUGUGCUUUCAGAUUGCUAAUGGGGGAUUUCUACCUUGGUGUGCUGCUUGAAAAAGCAGAGGGUUUAAAGCUGAAGCCAUCCCGAGAGUGAAUGGUUCUCUGCAGUUUUGUUUUGGCCUUCGGUGGAGGAGCUGCUGAGGGGAAGGGAUGUGUUUGCAAAAUUACAUUCCUGCUAAUCUGUACAUGAACUGUGACAACACGAGGGCUACCCCAAAAGUGAUGGCCAGGUAAUGGCUGUUUACAGUGAGGACCUCGCAUGGAUCAGCUGCAACAAGGGAUCCUGGAGAUCCAGGUCUUGGAGAACAGAAGAGGUGUCUGAAUAGUGGAGGAUAGCCAGUGUCACUGCGGAAAGGGAAAGAAGGAGGAUCUGGGAGACUACAGGCCAGUCAGUCUCCCCUCUGUCCCUGGGAAAGUGACAGAACAGCUUGUUCUGGAUGCACCUCUGAGCAAUUGGAAGACAAGUUAUCAGGUGUAGUCAGCGUGGAUUCUCCGAGGGGAAAUCAUGCUCAACCAAUCUCGUAGCCUUCUAUGAUGGAUGGGUAGAUGAGGGGAGAGCUGUGGAUGUUGUCUAUGUUGACUUCAGCAAGGCUUCUGAUGCUGUCUCCCAUGUCAUCUUGAUAACGAAGCUGAGAAAGUGUGGGAUAGAUGAGUGGACAGUGAGGUGUGUUGAGAACUGGUUGUGCUGAAAGGGCGGUGAUCAGUGAUGCAGAGUCCAGUUGCAGACCUGUGACUAGCAGUGCUCCCCCAGGGGUCAGUGAUCUGGUCUUGUUCAGGGUCUCCAUGAAUUACCUUGAUGAGGAGAUAGUGUCCGCUCUCAGCGGGUACGCUGAUGCUACAGAGCUGGGAGGAGUGACUGACAUCUGAUGGCUGUGCUGCCAUUCAGCAAGAGCUGGACAGGCUGGAGAGCUGGGCAGUAAGAAACCAGGUGAGGUUUAACAAAAGCAGGUGUAGAGUCCUGCAUCUGGGAGGAAAUAACUGCAAGUAUCACUAUAGGUGGUUGCAUGACAUUCUGGAGAGGAGCUCUGUGAAGGACCUGGGGGUCCUGGUGGACAAAAGUUUGGCCAUGAGCCCUUGUGUAUGCCCUUGUGGCCAAGAGUGUCAAUGGAAUCCUGGGGUGCAUUAAAAGGAGCAUGGCCAGCAGGGCAAGAG
Long non-coding RNA from Centrocercus urophasianus (Greater sage-grouse), 2037 nucleotides. RefSeq lists it as uncharacterized. The transcript has 4 exons. Lineage: Eukaryota; Metazoa; Chordata; Aves; Galliformes; Phasianidae. The record is from RefSeq and is a predicted model, not a curated record.